AAACCUGAGAAACCCGAAAGUUCGAAUGAAAAGAUUCAAUAUUCUUCAAUUGGUUGUACAUUUACUUUGUGAUUAUGUGAUAGUUUUAUGUUAAUUUCUUUAUCCUUCACUGGAUUUUGAAUGUACAUAUAUUCUACACCACUUUGUUUAUGAAUAAAUACAACUAUGAAGGUAUGCACUUCUUUUCUAGUAGGACGUUGCGACCCAUUGAAUGUUAAUCUACGGCUACUCGUUAGAGCCUAUUCCUAUUUUACUUAAUUGUAUUUAUUGGGAAAUAGAUUUCUGAGUAUGUCCCGAAUAACUGUUCGAUGGUAUUUAUAAAACCAUAAUAUUGGAUCGCCACUUUGUCUGGGCAUUUGGUAUUCAUUCAAGUAUGUAAGGUAAUUUAAAUGUCAGGGGCUCUUGUACUGGCUUUGAAUCCUAACUACUGUUCGAGUGAAAUUUACUAUCAAAUAGUAUCCUUUUAUUGGUCAGCAACGCUGUUGCUUUGGGUACUUUCAGGAC
Molecule: ribosomal RNA, 504 nt
Filed under: Panorpodes paradoxus
Lineage: Eukaryota; Metazoa; Arthropoda; Insecta; Mecoptera; Panorpodidae
Description: partial 28S rRNA
Source: RNAcentral